UGAAAGCGUGAGGUGAGGCGUGUGAAGUGACUGUCGGGUCUCUUCUGCGAGAGGUGCAGGAGUCUGGCUGCUUACAGUAAUUAUGGCGCUUAGACAGGCAGCGACGCUGCACGUUUUUCAGCGUGGAGAAUGCAAUGUAGGAACGAGGCCAAGCGCAGAGAUGCGGGUGUGGAAGUAGAAAGCAGGAAAAAGAAGGUGAUCAAAGGAGGACGUGUCGUAUAUUUAAAAAAACACAACAACAACAACAGAGGAACGGGUGAGAGGUGAAAUGGCGAUGAGGAAAGAAGUAGACUACGAGACGAGGAGAGAUGGAGUAGCUCUCCGCUUGAGCAAGCGAUGCCCCGUUGCCAUGGCAGCACCGUCUCUCUGGUCUCCGUGGGAACGGCUGAAUCCUGUUGCAGCUCGACUUUGCCCCUGGUGGGAAGCCCUGGAAUUAUCUGCCUGUUUCAAUCGAGUCCAGCCAGAUUCGUCCUCUUCUGUGGUCAGUGACCGGCAAAUCACACACACACACACACACACACACACACACACACACACACACACACACACACACACACACACACACACACACACACAAUCCCAGUCUUGCCUGGGGUUCACAGAUCAGGGGAUGGACACAACUGUGUGACACGUCUCUUUCUCACACCCUUCUAGUACUAAUGAAGGCAAAAAAUUAGAUUUUAAUCCCGAGCGUGUAUGGUCGUACAUGCGUCUGCUCUCGGGCGCCUACUUGCAUACAAGUGUGUGUUUAUGCAUGCGUCUGAGACCACAGCCUGGUGGAGAUCAAUUAAAUGAUAGGCAUGCUGGGAGUCGAUCUUUCCAGAGGCCUCUGCGCUUCACAAACAGUUUGGCACAUAGUAACAGAAACACGAAUCCCUGUAAUUCAUCCCAAUACCUUUAAAGUCACAUAUAGUCAAAAAACCAAGGACUGUGGUCUGUGGUGUGAAAGGCCAUGACUUACACAAACGCAUGGAAGCCGCUCAUUCCAUUUCAAGCCCACUGAACACACAGUUCUCAUCCUCCCAUACAGACUGCUUCUUAAAUACGUUUCCCAGUCCCAGUUAACCCUGAUGUCACCGGUGUCGUCCGAUGGCCUCCUAUGUUUUGUCUCACAUCACAGACGUGUCCUCAGCAGAAUGGAGCAGGGUGAGGGGGAAGAAGCCGGCGGGGCCCCGUGCAGUGAAUUAGCCACGCUCCCAGAGUAUUUUAUUAUCCGCCCUGUGUACAAUAGGACGCGCUGCUUACUUAUCAUGUGUAUUUGCCCAGAUGAGGAAGUAAUAGCUGUGUCAACAGCACCGUUGCCAUGGAGACAGAGGGGUUUCCAUAGCCAUGCUCGCCUUCCCAGUGACCCACUUUGCGCCCGCCGUUGUGGCAGUGAAGCCCUCCAAGAGCUCUCAGCGCCGCCACUCUGCCUUUUACCUAGCCAUUGAAUUCAGCUGAUUAAUGUAUGAUUUGAAUAAGAGCGGUGCGUGUGUGUGCGUGUGUGUGCGCGUGUGUGCGCGCGUGCGUGUCUAUCACGCCGCUCGACUCGCCGCGUCGAGCCGAGGAGCUCAGCGGGGAAAACAAGGACAUUUGGGCAGCAGCUCUGCUCGGUCGAGUGCAUCCGAGCCUCUUCUGCUUGACUGAAAGAAGAACAUGAAUUUAGACCUUUGUUGAUGAUGAAGUCAGUGAAAGACACAACUUAUUUACAGUCUUUGUCCUCGUUCAGUGAAGGUAAAGUGUUAAUGGCAUGGAAAUAAAAUCAUUAAAAUGGCCUAAUGCUAAAUUUGA
RNAcentral lists this long non-coding RNA (1770 nucleotides) under Betta splendens (Siamese fighting fish). RNAcentral describes it as "lncRNA (ENSBSLG00000006258.1)". Lineage: Eukaryota; Metazoa; Chordata; Actinopteri; Anabantiformes; Osphronemidae. The record is from RNAcentral.